MicroRNA precursor from Caenorhabditis briggsae, 100 nucleotides. It matches the Rfam family "mir-36 microRNA precursor family". Lineage: Eukaryota; Metazoa; Nematoda; Chromadorea; Rhabditida; Rhabditidae. The record is from Rfam.
UCCUAAAGUCUGGGUCGGACCUCUGCUGGUAUUCUCUGCGAUGAUAUUUUGAAAAAAGCUUAUCACCGGGUGAAAACUGGUAGAGGUCCGAUCCAGUCAG